UGACGCCUCCUUUCAGAGUUCGAGCUUGGAGGUCCGAGCUUCUCGUCAAAACCCUGAGGAAGUCGUCUUAUCUCGGGCCUGCGUUGAGAGCUUUCUUGAAGGUCGGGGAUUUUGAUAAGAACCCUAAUCCUUGCUGGGACGAGGUUCCCUGCAUCUUUGAUGCUGUUUGUUUUUCGUUCGUCGCUGACGCAGUCUGUCGCUUUUCUUUUAACUCCCCUCUCCUUUCUCCUUUUUCUUUUUCGAGUGAGGGUUUUCCCUCUACUCUUGGCGGGGUCGC
Molecule: long non-coding RNA, 277 nt
Filed under: Elaeis guineensis (African oil palm)
Lineage: Eukaryota; Viridiplantae; Streptophyta; Magnoliopsida; Arecales; Arecaceae
Description: long non-coding RNA (EGUI_LNC051069)
Source: RNAcentral